UCCUUUGAAAUCUCGCGAGACUUGAGGUCACGAGAGUUGCGCUGCUCCAUGCGGGAUAUUCCAGACAGACUCCCUAUCGCUUAUCAGGUGUGUGGGGGAAGCAGGACCAUGAGCAGCUGCAGAUGCGUCCACUGCCGAUGAAAAACUCUCCGACUGUGAUUCGUGUUACAAGUAAACAAAGGAAUUGGCCAGGUUUUGUGGGGGUUUAGGGGUAAGACCUGCCGAUUGGAAACAACCCAGCAGCCCAGCCUGUGAACUCUCCUCACUCUGACAACCUACACCUGGAUGUGCGGUAGGAGGCUCUGCAGCCGAUCCUUUCACUCACUCCCACCACCUCCAACGUGCUC
Molecule: long non-coding RNA, 347 nt
Organism: Cheilinus undulatus (humphead wrasse)
Lineage: Eukaryota; Metazoa; Chordata; Actinopteri; Labriformes; Labridae
Exons: 3
Source: RefSeq, a predicted model, not a curated record